CGGGUGAGUAACGCGUGGGUAACCUGCCUCAUACAGGGGGAUAACAGUUAGAAAUGACUGCUAAUACCGCAUAAGCGCACGGGGAUGCAUAUUCUUGUGUGAAAAACUCCGGUGGUAUGAGAUGGACCCGCGUCUGAUUAGCUAGUUGGUGAGGUAACGGCUCACCAAGGCGACGAUCAGUAGCCGACCUGAGAGGGUGGACGGCCACAUUGGGACUGAGACACGGCCCAGACUCCUACGGGAGGCAGCAG
Molecule: ribosomal RNA, 251 nt
Filed under: uncultured bacterium
Lineage: Bacteria
Description: partial 16S ribosomal RNA
Rfam family: Bacterial small subunit ribosomal RNA
Source: RNAcentral